GAAAAAGUAUGCAAGAACUGCUAACUCUAUGCCUCCGUGUCUAACAGCAUGGCUUUUUCA
Molecule: transfer RNA, 60 nt
Filed under: Gazella bennettii (chinkara)
Lineage: Eukaryota; Metazoa; Chordata; Mammalia; Artiodactyla; Bovidae
Description: tRNA-Ser
Source: RNAcentral